Molecule: ribosomal RNA, 537 nt
Filed under: uncultured bacterium
Lineage: Bacteria
Description: bacterial SSU rRNA
Rfam family: Bacterial small subunit ribosomal RNA
Source: RNAcentral
GGCAGGGUAACGGCCUACCAAGACAACGAUCAGUAGCCGGCUUGAGAGAGUGGACGGCCACAUUGGGACUGAGACACGGCCCAGACUCCUGCGGGAGGCAGCAGUGGGGAAUAUUGCACAAUGGGGGGAACCCUGAUGCAGCAAUGCCGCGUGGGUGAAGAAGCACUCCGGUGCGUAAAGCCCUGUCAGCAGGGAAGAAAAUGACAGUACCUGGACAAGAAGCCCCGGCUAACUACGUGCCAGCAGCCGCGGUAAUACGUAGGGGGCAAGCGUUAUCCGGAUUUACUGGGUGUAAAGGGAGCGCAGGCGGCGUGGCAAGUCAGAUGUGAAAACCCGGGGCCCAACCCCGGGAGUGCAUUUGAAACUGCCAUGCUGGAGUGCCGGAGAGGUAAGCGGAAUUCCUAGUGUAGCGGUGAAAUGCGUAGAUAUUAGGAGGAACACCAGUGGCGGAGGCGGCUUACUGGACGGUAACUGACGCUGAGGCUCGAAAGCGUGGGGAGCAAACAGGAUUAGAUACCCUGGUAGCCCACGCCGUAA